UACAGAGGGUGCAAGCGUUAAUCGGAAUUACUGGGCGUAAAGCGAGCGUAGUCGGUUAUUUAAGUCGGGUGUGAAAUCCCCGGGCUCAACCUGGGAAUUGCAUUCGAUACUGGAUAGCUAGAGUUCGGCAGAGGGAAGCGGAAUUUCCGGUGUAGCGGUGAAAUGCGUAGAUAUCGGAAGGAACAUCAGUGGCGAAAGCGGCUUCCUGGACCAGAACUGACGAUCAGGCUCGAAAGCGUGGGGAGCAAACAGG
RNAcentral lists this ribosomal RNA (253 nucleotides) under uncultured bacterium. RNAcentral describes it as "partial 16S ribosomal RNA". It matches the Rfam family "Bacterial small subunit ribosomal RNA", at positions 524 to 776 of the family's 1533-position model. The record is from RNAcentral.